GGAGCCUUGCUAUAGUUUCUUUUGACAAAUGGCGUUUAUAUUGGAUUAUAUGAAUUGACAGAGAGAGAUGGAAGAGUUGCGCGAGAUUGCGAGAGCUCAUUAUCACGCAAGUUCUCAACAAGUUUAGGAUUUAGCACAUGAAUUCUUCAAUUCUAUGGAUAGUGAUGGCGAUGGCCGGAUUGAUCUGCCUGAGUUCCUAGCAUUCGUGAGACAGGAAGGCUAUUACCAGAUGCAUAAUCGUUACUUUUUCAAGGAGUUAGAUAGAGAUGGGAAUUGAGGAGAGUGUCCAUGUGUGGGCUAUUUUAUCUAGACUAGAUUCUACCAAUCAUUGUUCAAACACAUUCGGUUAGUCCCUUAUCUCACUUAUUCAUAGCGGCUACUCUCUUGUCGAAACCAAUAGCAAAUAACUGAAUAUUGUUUCCAGUUGAAGCAUUUGUAAAACAUGUUUAGAUUGAUGUAAUUGAAGAUUCUAAUAAUCUUGUUGAAAGCAACUAGUUUAAUCAAAUAAAACAGGGGAUUACCUCAUUUCGUUUAAUUAUUGCCAUAAGAAUCCAGUAACUCCUUGCUAAAAAGGGUCAACUAUCAUACCAAUAUUGAAAAGUAUUCUUCCAAUUGUUAAUUGAAAGGAAUUUGAUAUUUUCAUUCUCAAUCUUUGAGACAUGUUAGUUGAUGAGUUUGUUUCACUCAUGAUAUUUGUACAAUUUUAGCAUGAUUAAAUGCUAGAUCAUGUGAGUAUUGAACGUUUUUUAUGUGUUUGUUAGUGUUGUUUUGAAGAUUAGGAGAAGGGAUAUGAAAAUAGGUGUUAAACUGGACGAAGAGGCCAAAAACAUGGAAUUGGGGCAGAAAGACGGUGCUUAGGCACUACGAAACUGAAAAAAAAGAUGAAAUUUGGACCCGAGAGGUAGCGCCCAGGAGUCCCAAACGCUAUCAUCAGCACCUAGGCGCUGCGAUUGAAUAUCUAGGGAGCGUUUUUGGGCCAUUUUUAAAUCCAUAAAAAUCCUACUUCUAGAUAAAAUGGAGGGGUACAUAUAAAUACAUCUUUCUCAUACUUUUGAAGGGUUCUUGACAGAUUGGAGAGAAGACAACAAGAAGGGAGAUUCAAAAGAGAAAUUCAAGAAGAUUAACACCAAGCAAUUUGAGAUUAGAAGCAUUCAUUGAAAGCGGAAAGAGAUCUUGGUGCAAGAAUUCUACUUUUUCUUCAACAUCUUUAUUACAAACUUGUUGAUGUAUUCUAAGACAAUUUUCUACUUUUCUUCUUGUAUUAUGAGUAGCUAAAUUCAUUGUUAGGGGGAAUAAUGUAACCAAUUGGGAUAUUUUACAUUCUCUUAUUAAGACUUUCAGUUUUUAAUUCUUCCAUAUGUUGAUUUUGCUAUGAGUUGAAUGCAUUAAAUUAUCUGAUCAAUAAUUUGAUGAUUUUUGUGAAUUCUUUACAAAUAGAUAUAUGAGUUUAGGAUUUAGACUAUAUAGUAAAAUCUAGUAUAUUGGUAUAACGAGUAGAUAUACCUAUACCAAUUAUUGCGGUCAUAAUUGAAUUCCUAAGACAUAGAACUCGUUUAACUAAGUUGAAUUUACAUAGAGAUAUGAAAUUUAAUUGGUUGAAUAGGCUCAAUGAGAACUUGAGUGGGGUAAAUUGAAUACAAUAGAGGAAUUCGACCGAGUGCUACAUUAGAAUUGAGUUUUAAUUUGAGAUGUAAAUGUGAUCAAUUGGUGAAGUUAUUCUACCUUAACAUCCAUUCAUUAUUUGAUUCUCCAACGAAUCGUGUGAACAUUCAUUUAUUUUCUAGAAUUUAGAUUAAAACCCAGAUUUUACAACCUUUAAUUGUUUUAGUUAAAUAGUAGUUAAAGAAAAAUUGAAUUAAGUGCUAGAAAAUAAUCCUUGUGGGAUCGACAAACAGGACUCUUAGGUCCACUAUUACUUGUUAUGGGUCGUACACUUGCAAAACAAAAUUCAACAACAUAUUUUUGGCGCCGUUGCCGGGGACUAUUUCUUCUAGUCUCAAUUAAUUUUUAUUUUAAUUGUUAUUUGAUUUGUUUAUUUUUCUUUUAUUUAAAGAAAAUUGUGUUCGUUGUAUGCUCCGUGCCCAAGGCGACGAUAUUGAACCGUUUGAUUUGGAGAUAGAACGUACCUUCAGACGAAGACGCAAAGAACACAAACAAAAAUAGCAACAUCAAAUGGCUGACAAUCAAAAAAUCCAUAUCCCUAUUCAGCCGAUUGGACAAAUGGCCGCAAGAGUGGCACCACCGGAACAGCAGCAUGAGUGAGGGGAAAUAAAUGAAGGUGAUUUGCCAGUAUCAAUGUUCCUGACACCUAUAGCAGCACACAUGCGCUCCAGUAUCGUGUAUCCAGAUUUUGGGGUGAAUAACUUUCAGAUUCGGCCAAAUUGGAUUAACUUGAUAAGCAACACCCUGCAAUUCUACGGGCUACCUCAAGAGAAUCCAAACAUGCAUAUCUCUAGAUUUCUCAGAAGCUGUCAGAACUUUUAUGCUCCGGGGGUCAAUGAAGAUGUUAUUAAACUACGACUAUUCCCAUUUACAUUGAGAGAUGCUGCAUUGGAGUGGUUAGAUGCUGAGCCUCACGCUAGCAUUACUACAUGGGAAGAACUAACCAGAAAGUUCUGUAAUAAAUUUUUCCCACCGAUGAGGGUAGCUAAAAUUAGAUUAGAAAUUCAAAAUUUUCAACAGAAAGAGGGAGAAAGCUAUCACGAAACAUGGAAUGGGUUUAAUGAGUUGAUGAGAAAAUGCCCAAACCAUGGAAUUGCUAUAGGUAAUCAAGUGCAGUACUUCUACACUUGACUUAUACCACUAUCAAAAUCCCAAGUCGAUGCCUCAGCUGGAGGAUCAAUUAUAGGAAAAUCUGUGCAGCAAACCAUGGAACUGUUUGAGUUGAUUGCCACUACACAUUCAAUGUUCUCAUUGGAAAGAGUGGCACCACCGAAGACAGGAGGAAUGUAUGAGUUAGAAGGCACAACAGCUACCAAUGCCCAAAUAGUAGCAUUGACAAAACAAGUGGAGUUAUUGGUGAAAUCACAAAUGAAAGGAGCACAUGCAGUGAUAGCUAGUCCAUCAUACGAGAAUUGCAGGGCUAACAUCUAACAGAAAACUGCACAUCUAUAGGCUAUCCCGACGAAUAGGUCAAUUUCAUUCAGAAUGGGUCUCGAAAUUUUAAUCCAUUUGCUCAAACGUACAACCAAGGAUGGAGACUACCCAAACUUCAGAUGGUCGAAUAAUCAACAAGGGAACAGUUCAAAUAAUGCCCAACAGGAGAAAAAAUAAAGUUUGGGGGAGAUGUUCAACCAGUACAUGCAGAAGACUGACAAGGUGUUUCAACAAAUUGAUACUAACUUUCAGAAUCAACAAGCAUCAAUCAAGAAGUUGGAAAAAUAAAUUGGUCAAAUAAUUCAACAGCUUGCAGAACGCUCACAAGGGACAUUGCCAGGCAACACAAUGGUUAAUCCAAAAGAGCAAGUGCAAGCUAUUACUACCAGGAGUGGGUUGCAACUUCUAGAAAUACAUGUGAAGAGACCAGAGCGAAAAGAAAAUGAAAUAAUGGGUGAAGAGGCUGGGAAAGAAGUAGAGUUUGAACAACAAAUUGACAAGGAGAACGAAAGGAAAAAAACACCUGCAGUGAGAGCACCCAGCCCCGUGAAGGCUUAUGUCCCACCAAUUCCCUUCCCUCAAAGGUUACAAAGAAAGAAGUUGGAUAAUCAGUUUGCCAAGUUUGUGGAGAUUUUCAAGAAACUGCACAUCAAUAUUCCUUUUGUAGACGCAAUUGCCCAAAUGCCCAGCUAUACAAAAUUCUUGAAAGAGAUCCUAUCUAACAAAAGGAAGCUGGAAGAACAUGAGACAGUAUGCUUGAACGAGGAGUGCAGUGAAAUACUAUUGAGAAAGCUACCUCCUAAACUAAAAGACCUAGAGAGUUUCACUAUACGUUGCACAAUUGGUUCUAAUUUCUUUGAACAUUCUUUAUGUGAUUUAGGUGCCAGUGUUAAUUUGAUGCCUCUCUCUGUUUACAGGUCUCUUGGAUUAGGAGAAGCAAAACCUACAACAAUCUUUUUGCAACUGGCCGACAGAUCGAUCAAACGACCAAAGGGAAUUAUUGAAGAUGUGCUGGUAAAAGUUGACAAAUUUAUUUUUCCGACCGAUUUCAUUAUUUUGGAUAUGGAAGAGGACUCAAAUAUUCCUCUGAUCUUGGGAAGACCGUACUUGGCUACUGGGAGAGCAUUGAUUGAUGUUUAUGAUGGAAAAAUGAUUCUUUGAGUGGACAAUGAGCAAGUCAUAUUCAACUUGUUCAAGGCAAUGAAAUACCCAUUGACUUCCAACACUUGCUGCCAAGUUGAUGUUCUUGAAGAGCUUGUAGUGGAUACAUUUGAUAUAGAGCAUCACACAAAUCUUUGUGAGGCAGAACUUGCACAAUUGGAAGCAACAAAUGCAGGAAAAACUAAAUGUGUUGUCAAUUUAGCCGAGCAACCUAUAGGAAGAAGGCAUUGGUAGUAUAAAUCUCUAGGAGACAACCCUUCUUCCCCGGUACCCUCAGUGGAAAAGGCACCCACUCUUGAACUAAAGCCCUUACCUUCCCAUCUUCAUUAUGCAUAUUUGGGAGAAUAUUCAACACUGCCAGUAAUCAUUGCAAAUGACAUGACAAGGGAAGAGGAGAAUAAAUUGUUGGCGGUAUUCAGGCAGCACAAAAUGGCAAUUGGAGGGACAAUAGCUGACAUAAGAGGGAUCAGUCCAACUCUUUGCAUGCACAAGAUUUUAAUGGAGGACGGGUCAAGGGCAUCAGUGGAAGGACAACGCCGAUUGAAUCCAACCCUGAAAGAAGUCGUACGAAAAGAAGUGCUGAGAUUACUGGAUGUAGGAAUGAUUUAUCCCAUAUCUUAUAGUCCAUGGGUGAGUCCUGUACAUGUUGUACCUAAAAAGGUUGGAAUCACAGUGGAGAAGAACGAGAACAACGAGUUGAUACCAACACAGUUAGUGACAGGGUGGAGAGUAUGCAUAGAUUAUAGAAAAGCCACAUAAUGCAACCAGAAAUGACCAUUUUCCAUUGCCAUUCAUUGAUCAGAUGUUGGAAAGGUUGGCAUGAAAUUCUCAUUAUUGCUUUCUAGAUGGAUAUUCAGGGUACAAUCAGAUAGUAAUUGCUCCAGAAGACCAAGAGAAGAUAACAUUCACAUGCCCUUAUGGAACGUCUGCGUUUAGAGGAAUGCCUUUUGGUUUAUUCAAUGCACCGACAACCUUUCAACAAUGCAUAUUGGCCAUCUUUUCUGACAUGGUAGAAAAGUACAUUGAGGUUUUUAUGGACGAUUUUUCUGUGUUUGGAGAUUCCUUUGACAAUUGCUUGGAGCGGUUGGCUCUUGUAUUGCAAAGAUGUGAGGAGAAGAACCUUGUGCUUAAUUGGGAAAAAUGUCAUUUCAUGGUAAAGGAAGUAGUAGUACUGGGACAUCGAAUUUCUGCACAGGGGAUUGAAAUGGACAAAGCCAAAAUACAGGUGAUUGAGAAAUUGUAGCCACCUAAUUCAGUAAAGGAGAUCAGGAGUUUUCUGGGACAUGCAGGGUUUUAUAGAAGAUUCAUUCAAGACUUUGCAAAAAUUACGAAACCGUUGUGCAACCUACUGGAGAAAGAUAUACCAUUUCAAUUUUCUGAUGAGAGUUUGAAAGCCUUCAACACUUUGAAAGAAAAAUUGACAUCGACACCUGUGAUAGUGGCUCCAGAUUGGGAAUUACCUUUUGAGCUCAUGUGUGACGCCAAUGACUUUGCAGUGGGGGCAGUGCUUGGACAACGCAACGAAAAAGUAUUUCAUGUUAUCUGCUACGCUAGCAAAACAUUAAAUGAUGCUCAGAUCAACUAUGCAACAACUGAAAAGGAAUUGCUUACAGUUGUUUUUGCUUUUGACAAAUUUCAUUCUUAUUUGAUUGGGUCCAAGGUGAUAGUUUAUACAGACCAUGCAGCUCUGAAGUAUUUGUUUGAGAAUAAGGAUGCAAAACCAAGGCUAAUUCGCUGGGCGCUGUUACUACAAGAAUUUGACAUCGCGAUUCGUGAUAAAAAAGGAACAGAAAAUCAGGUAACGGAUCACUUAUCAAGGAUAGAGCAACAGCAGGAUUUAGAUGAUAUGAAUAAUAAUGAGGUCUUCCCAGAUGAACAGUUACUGCAAGUAGAAAAAGCUCUGUGGUAUGCAGACAUUGUUAAUUACUUAGCCAGUGGCUAUAUAGAUUCGGAUCUCACCUAUCAGCAAAAGAAGAAGCUCAGUCAUGAAGCGAAAUUCUAUUACUGGGAUGAUCCAAAUUUAUAUAGGAGAGGGGCGGACCAGAUCAUUAGGAGAUGUGUGCUUGAGGAUGAAAUGAAACCGAUCCUUUCAUGAGUAAUGCUUCGGCUUAUGGAGGGCACUUUAGCCCCACUAAAAUAGCAGCAAAGGUGCUCCAAUGUUGUUUCUUUUAGCCUACAUUGUUCAAGGACUGCCACAAUUUCUGUAGACCAUGCUAUAAGUGUCAAAGAACAGGUAACAUAUCAGAGCGUCGCAAGAUGCCACUUAACAACAUUUUGGAAAUGGAAAUAUUUGAUGUCUGGGGGAGUUGAUUUUAUGGACCCGUUUCCAUCAUUUUACAACAAUCGGUACAUCCUCGUUGUGAUGGACUAUGUUUCAAAAUGGGGAGAAGCUAAAGCAUUGCCUACAAAUGACACAAGGGUGGUGGUGGACUUCAUAAAGAAAAGGUUAGACCUCGAAAUGGCUGGAGAAACAAGAGUACUACUGCUACGUGAGUUGGAGAAAUUCAAAAGAGAGACAUAUAAGAAUGUAUCUAUCUACAAGGAAAGGACAAAGCAGUGGCACGACAAGAACAUCAGGCAACAAAAUUUUCGAGUGGGAGAUCAAGUGCUAUUAUAUAAUUCCCGGCUUAAGCUUUUUCUAGGAAAAUUGAAGUCUAGAUGGUUCGGUCCUUUUACGGUCUCUCAGGUGUUUCCCUACAGGAUAGCUGAAUUGCACCAUCCAACUAAAGGAAAUUUCAAAGUAAAUGACCAACGCAUCGAGUAUUAUGUGGAAGAUUUCCCCACCGCUAAAGAGAGUCUCGAUCUAGCUGUUCCCGAAUAACUGCGGCACUAUAUCCAGCUAAUAACUUAAAAGAAGCGCUUCUUGGGAGGCAACCCAAGCUCUACCCUUUAUUUGAUCAUUGGUUUUUGCUUUGAUUUUGUUGUUCCUUUAAUAACCUAUGCUAUCGUAGUAACACUUUUUUUUUUUUUUUUUGUAGGAAAAUCCAUAAAGGUUACAUAUUGCGGAAUUUAAGUUCUACAAUGAAAAUGAAUGAGUGUGAUAAGGAGAAGGAGUUUAUUAAAAAAAACGAAAAGGGGUAGUAACGCAGUGCCCAAGCACUGAGCGCUGUGAAACUGUCGAACGGCAAAAACGCAACGCCCCCGAUUCGAUAGAAACUCAACGUCCAGGCGCUGCAUCCUCCCCCCCUCCCCACAUUUUUUUUAUUUUUUUUUUCUUCUUUUCUAUUUCUUAUAACCUCAACCCUUCUCCCUCCUCACAAUACGAGAUUUCCCAACCCCUCUUCCCUCUCAUCUUUUUCCCCAAACCCCUUAAGUUUACCCCUUUUCAUCUCCUCCUCAACCCUUCCAAGGUACACUCUUCCCCUCUCUUUCCUUAUUUAGUUUUAUUUUUUGUUAAAUUUAUUUUAUCAUCUCACCACAUCACAAUUCUUUCAAUUUCACAUAUUCUCGCCCCCCUCCCAAUCCUCCUUGUUGUUUUUAACAUUUCAUUGUUGCUAAGUGUGAAUUCAUCCAUUCCUAUUAGUUUCCACAACACCAUUCUAGGUAUGGCUAUUUUUUGCUCCCUAUUUUUUUCCCUCUCUUACAUGAUAGUUGUUGCUUAUUUGUGCCUAUUUUUGAUAAUUAUGUUAAGAGGCGGGCUUACUUUGCUGUGGUGUCAAGAAAUUUGUGUAUGGUGUGAAUAAUGUGGCAUGAAUUACUUCUAAAUUAUGGGCAAUUUUUGGUGGAAAUUUGGUGCCUUCAAAGUGUUUGAUGGAUUUCCUAGGUGAACUUAGUUGGGUACAAAGGAACUAUUGUGGCUAUUGUGCUAAUUGAUUUAUGUGGGAAUUGCCAUGUAGAUGAUCGUGAAUUGAAAUUGGGUUUAGAAUACCUCUAUUGCAAGUUCGACCAUAGUUUCCUCUUAUGGCUAGAUUUUAAGCCCUGGCUUAUCUUCCUUUACUGCUAUUUUUGCUAAUGGUUUGCAUGUUCUACACUUGCACAGGUCCAAUGCCGCCUAAAAAGAGAUCUAAAGCCACAACCUCCUCUUCUAGCUCAUUUGACAGGAGCAAAUUCAUUGAACGAUAUAAUAGCCUGGUGGUACACAAGACUUGUAUCCCUAAACGUGGUUUUGACAAUUAUAUGAUAGAGUAGAUAGGUCGACAAAAUUGGGAAGUGUUUGCUCGGCAACCAUGAUCGGCGCUAAUUUCGGUUGUUAGGGAGUUCUACGCCAAUGCGAAGGAGCAUCGAGAUUUCUAAGUGUUUGUGCGGGGUAAAUGGAUAUCGUUUGAUAGAACUCCAUCAACAGGUUUUAUCAUUUGCAAGAUAUUGAAAAUGAUGAGUACUCUAGACUUCGCCACGAGGGUGUUGAUCCUAAUGAGGUCAUUCGAGUCUUGGCUACAACUGGUACUAUAUGGAAACGUUCAAAGACUGAUUUAAUUAACUUCCCUGCUUCUAGUAUGACUUCGGGUUGUAAGGCUUAGCAUCACUUCAUUUUCGGCAAACUUAUUCUCAGUAGCAAUUUAAGUAAAGUAACAAAAGAACGGGCUACCCUCAAUUAUGCCAUUCUGUGCCGCCUAUCAAUUGGUGUUGGUAAAGUUAUUCACAACAACAUCUUACGCACUUUGAAAGGGUCGACGACAGGUGGUCUAGAGCACCCAUCAUUGAUUUAUGAGCUUUGUUUAGCGGGUGGUGUUGUCACAUACCCGACUGAGGAGGUUGUGCACCCCAAACCGGCAAUCACAGGAGCGUGUACUUGGAAGUUCUUACGCUCUCCGAAUCCACCAGUGCUCUACCCCCUCCUCGGAGUGACCAGCUGCCCCGAUCACACCGACCGACCCCAGCUAGUGACCCCACUUCUGACCUUGCCGCUCAGCUUCAUGACAUGCAAUUGCAAAUGAAUUUGAUGCAAAAUACAUUGUGCGAGCAAUUCCAUUAUCAACAUGAGUUCAAUGCGGUACUGGCUUCGAUUUACUACGAUCGAACAUUUCCUCAGCUACCUCUCCUACCUGAUCAUGCUGCCAAUCCAAUUUCAAUUACCUAGGAUGACGAUGUCGAGGACGACGAUUAACGUCGUCCAUCAGGUAAGUCCCUUCCCCAUUUUGUUUCUAUUUCACAUUGAGGACAAUGUUUCAGUUAAGUUUGGGAGGAGUGAAUAAAUUUGCUUACGUUGUUGAGUUUCUCGAACACUUGCAUGUGAUUUGCUUGUUUUAUGUGUUUAUUCAAAAAAUAAUAAUAAUAAUAAUAAUAAUAAUAAUAAUAAUAAUAAUAAAUUAUAUAUGCAUUUUCAUCUUCAGCAUGCUUGUGUGAGCUAGAUAGUCUUGUUAGCUAUGAUGAAUAUAUUUGAGAGCAUGUAUUAGUUUAUGGAUUGUGGAUGAAUCAUAUGUUUUAAUUGGAAUUUCUACUUAUACAUAUGAAGCGGUAUAACAUUUAUGCAUGAGUAUUAAGUUGAGCGUCGUACAAGAACAUGAGGGCUCAUGCACAUAGGCUAAAGAGAUGACUUAGGUGUGUAAUCCCGUGACCUAUGAAUGUCAAUAUCCCUUAACCGUAUACAUUAUAAUUUGGGGCAUUCUAACCAGCGAAAUAAAUGAUUUAAGAUUGUAGUGAUUCCGUGCAUGUGAAAAAAAUUGUGUGGAGUGUAGUUAAUUUUCUGGUAUAAGCUUGGUGAUGACCGAAUGCUAGAAAUAUAACCCCUAUAAUAUUCUCUUCUUUUUAUUAGAGUAGAAGCAUUGCACGUAUUCAGCUGAGUCUCACAGCUGCACCUUUUUUACUCGAGUUAUUAAGUCCGUAGGGGUCUCUUGAAACCUGGUACCCUUUGGUAUACAAAAAAUCAUAGAGUUACCGACCUAACACUCGCUACAGCAGUCAAGAAGUGGAAAAAAGGGUGAGGUAAAAAAAUUAAAUAAAUUAAAAAAAAAAAGGAAACUGAUCUUGGGGGCCUAGAUAACUAGUGGGUUUGAAUCAUUAAGUAUAAACUAGAUUGUUGAAACACUCAUAAAUUGGGAAAAUCACUACAUGAAUGAAUUGUUGACAUUGCCGGUUGAACUAACCCAAAUUAGAGUGGUGUGAGAAAAUCUUAAGCAAAACUGAACUUUAGAAUUACACCAUGGUAAGAGAAUAAAAGAACCGAGUUUGGGGUCUGUGAAUCUUACGAGUGAAGAAAGGAAAUAAUUGACCAUUGAGGGUUGGAAAGUGAACCAACUUGUGAAUGUACGGCGCUGCACUUGACCCUCCACACACAUACCCGCUUCGCGUUGUAUGAGUGGAAGUUUGGUUCUUACAUUGUGAUUUUAACACCAUUCAUAAAUAUAAUAUAAUGUUAUCAAUGCUGAGCCAAAAAGACAAGCUGUCCAACUGACUAGUUGUGUGGGUAUCGUCCUCGGAUGAUUUUACUAUUUGGAUUGUUUGUUUGCUCGAGGACUAGCAAAUGGUUAAGUUUGGGGGUAUUUGAUGAGUUUGUUUCACUCAUGGUUUUUGCACAAUUUUAGUUUGAUUAAAUACUAGAUCUUGUGAUUAUAGAACGUUUUUGAUGUUUUUGUUAGUGUUAUUUUGAAGAUUAGGAGAAGCGAUGUGAAAAGAGGUAUUAAAGUGGACGAAGAGGCCAAAAACACAGAAUUGGGGUAGAAAGACGGCGCUUAGGCGCUGCAUUCAUAGCGCCUAGGCGCUGCGAUUGAAUAUCUAGGGCGCGAUUUUUUAGGUCGUUUUUAAAUCCAUAAAAAUCCUACUUCUAGAUAAAAUGGAGGGGAACUUAUAAAUACAUCUUUCUCAUACUUUUGAAGGGUUCUUGAUAGAUCGGAGAGAAGACAACAAGAAGGAAGAUUCAAAAGAGAAAUUCAAGAAGAUUAACACCAAGCAAUUGGAGAUUAGAAGCAUUCAUUGGAAGAUGAAGGAGAUCUUGGUUCAAAAAUUCUACGUUUUCUUGUACAUCUUUAUUACAAACUCGAUGAUGUAUUCUAAGACAAUUUCCUACUUUUCUUCUUGUAUUAUGAGUAGCUAAAUUCAUUGUUAGGGGGAAUAAUGUAACCAAUUGGGAUCUUUUACAUUUUCUUAUUAAGACUUUCAGUUUUUAAUUUUUCCAUGUGUUGAUUUUGCUAUGAGUUGAAUGCAUUAAAUUAUCUGAUCAAUAAUUUGAUGAUUUUUGUGAAUUCUUUACAAAUAGAGAUAUGAGUUUAGGAUUUAAACUAUGUAGUAAAAUCCAGUACAUUGGUAUAAUGAGUAGAGAUAUCUAUACCAUUUAUUGCGGUCAUAAUUGAAUUUCUAAGACAUAGAACUCAUUUAACUAAGCUGAAUUUGCAUAGAGAUAUGAAAUUUAAUUAGUUGAAUAGGCUCAAUGAGAACUCGAGAGGGGUAAAUUGAAUACAAUAGGAGAAUUCGACCAAGCACUACAUUAGAAUUGAGUUUUAAUUUAGAUGUAAAGGUGAUCAAUUGGUGAAGUUAUUCUACCCUAACAUCCAUUCAUUAUUUGAUUCUCCAAUCAAUCGUAUGAACAUUAAUUUAUUUUCUAGAAUUUAGAAUAAAACCCAGAUUUUACAACCUUUAAUUUGUUUUAGUCAAAUAGUAGUUAAAGAAAAAUUGAAUUAAGUGCUAGAAAAUAAUUCUUGUGGGAUCGACUAACCAGACUCUUAGGCCCACUAUUACUUGUUACGGGUUGUACAUUUGCGAAACAAAAUUCAACAACAUUAGUAAAUUACCCCCUCCUACCUUUUUUUUUUUAAAUUCAAAUCAUCCUCAACCUUUCGAAAAAUAUUGUAAAACUUGUUCUUCCGUCUAUCCCAACCGUUAAAUUCAUGUACGAUGACGUGUACACUCUCGAGCUUCGUGCAAUCUUUUUAUUUGAAAUAUCGUUGGCACACUAUGUACAAUCUUAUGAAACCAGAUUCUGGUUCAGUAAAUGCCAUGGCGAAACGCAUAUUUCCGACAAGGGUUGGAGGAUCUAGAUUCAUGCUGCUUCAAGGGCUUUGAUGUGUUUGUACUAUUAACGUGAAUUUUUUUCACGUCAACUUUUUCAAAAAUAUUAUGCCCCUGUUUCGUAUUGAUUUUAUUUUUGAAUUUUAUCAGAUUUUGAUAGAAACCAUUGUGCAUGUUAAAUUUUUUGCUCUAUUAUUUUUGUAUGAUUCCUAGAAAGCACGGUCAAAAAAAUGUAGAUAAAUACAUUAAGUUCAUGUGAAUUGUCAUUACUACCCUUUGAAUCAAUCCAAAAAAGUGACUGAAUAAAUUGUUACUUUUAAUAUAAAAGGGUAAAAUAGGCAUUGAGAGUAAAAUCCAAAAAGUGAGUGACUACACUUGACAUUGCAUUAAAAAGUAAUAAGGGGACCCAUAUGCAACAUGAUAGUGCAAAAAACUGAUACAUACACACACACACACACACACACACAAUUGUCCUUUCUUCGUACAGAUUUUAGUACGAAAUGCACACCACAAAUACUCAAUCACCUUUUUUUUCCUUUUUCUUUUUUCAUUUUUGUUUCGAGGAUUAUUUGUUUUUCACUCUCUUGGUUACGAAUUGAAUCCAAUUUUCGGGCUGAACCUUCGGAAAAACUUUCUUCCUAAAAUCUCAGUCCCUCUAGUCGAAAAGAUGCCCUCACUUCAAGAAAUGAAUAAAGAUAAAUAAACUUGAAUUUGAGAUAGCUAUUCGAAAACGGUUCUUAUUUGGAAGAAGCAUUGGCUUGGUGUUUCACUCGAUAAAAGUGCGGAGAAUGGCCACUCAUCGAGCCCUGUGCAUCACAUUGAGAUCUUGAUAACCUAGCAUCCAAAUCCAAUUGCGGUUAAGGUUAUUACUUUCAGCAUGGCUAGCGCUAUCUAUACCCGAUUCAUAAUUAGAAAGUUUCUCCGACCCUUUCCUAAUCGGGGCUAAAAUCCAGGAAAUGAAAAAUGCCAAUAUAUAAUUUAUGCUCUUGAAAUGUAAGUAUAUUAUCAUAGGCUAAGCAUAAAAAUUUACUGAGUUCUUGUUUGGUUUAACUAAAAAGUUGGAUCAAAAUUUAAGUCAAAAUCAACAAUUGAUUUUAACCACACAUUUUAUAAGAUCCAUAAUUUUUUUAACUACACAUUUCAUCAAUUUUUAUUAAAAAAAAAAAGGAAAAGAGAAAUUUUUGAUUUUUAUCUAAACCUAAAUGGGGGCAAAGUAAAUUUAUAAUGAAGUAAAUUUUGUUUUAAGUAAUAGUUUCUGCUCGUGAAAAGUAAGGAAAUAAAUAUAUUCGAAGAAAGUUACUUUGUGAUUAGAAAGUAAUAAAAUAUUAAGUUAUCUAAACAUGUUUGAAGACAAAAGUUAAUUAGAAUUGAAUUUUUAUUGGGCUUAACCAUGUUCUAAAUAUUUUUUCAAAAUGAUAAAAGAUUUGAAAAUUCUAUUAAUAUAUUUAUGCACAUACAGGUAGAACUUCUAAGAAAAACCUUCUCAAACAUUUCCUCUGCUUUAAUCAAUGAAGGAAUUGUUAAAUUAUUUUGUAAGAGGGAGAGUUGAAAGGGAUGAGAAGAAUUGCGAAAGCUUAUUAUGACUGCAGAGCAAGUAAAGAGGAAAAGAAGUCAGCACUCAAAUUCCUCUAAAGCCUGGAUAAAAAUGGGGAUGGAAAAGUGGGCCUUUUGGAGUUUAAAGGAGUAUACAAGCUCGUUGUGACCAAAUGACAAAGUCUUAAAAUUAGACACUUGAUAAGCUAAUUAUGCGAAUGGUAUAUGAACUUUAUCUCAAAAGCUAUACAUGAACAUUUGAUGAUUUUGUUGUUCGUGGUUAUUCCAGCAGGUUUAAUGCCCAAGGUAAUUCUACUGGUAAGUAAUGCUUGGAUUUAGUUUAGAGUUGCUGAGUUUGUCCAUAGGGGCUUUGUGGAAGAGGCAGAGUGUUUUGUUUAGAAAAUUAUUUUGUAAUGAAUUUAGUGUAAAUGUGUAGUAUGUUAGAAUUGAGUUGUGACCCGAAUUCUUGUUGAGUAUUUGAUUGAAAAUACGGUUGGAGGACUAUUGGUAGUUGAUAGUAGACUUGAAGAUGUCGAAGGAGUCCAAGACGGAUAAGGAUAAGGACUAGCACUUUUGGCAGUUUUUCCCUCCUAUUUCAACUUAAAUACUCCAUUGGUAGUUUUAUCUAUUAUGAUAGGAUUUCACAUUUUGUUAGACUCUUGUUUGGAUUAAUUCUCCUAGUAUGUUUGGGAUUCUCUUGUAUUAUAAAUAUGUGGUGCAUUAUAUAUAUUUAUUUGAUAUAUUUCGAGAGUGAUCGAAGUGGAUCUUGAUUAAUAGAGAGACUCGCAGAUAAAAAUAUUCAGGAGUGAGUCUUGUGAGAUCUAGUCUAACAUGUUAUAAUUUCUUACUUUUGAUAUAUUGAAUUCUCUGCCUCUACCUAUGAUUUUUUUCGUAUUUGAUUUUGACAUAAAAUCUUAUGGUUUUUUAUUGUUAUUUUCACAUUGCCUGUACCAUGUCUUUAAUAUUCAUAACAAGUGGUAUCAGAUCUAUCACUGUGUUAUAACAAUUGGCUAAAUUUCUAACAUGUAGUAUUAGAGCAAAACUUGUAUCGCUUAUUUCUAACAAGUGAGGUAUAUGAAUUCUUGUUGUAAGAAUUAUGUUACAAAUAAGAAUGAUUUGGAAUAAUCUUGCUUUGUAUAUAUUGAAUAAUAAUUAUUAUUGCAAAAAGGUGUAACUGCCAUUUGUAUUAAUAGACAAAAUUAUUUCCUACUUUUACUACUACUGAAAAAUUUAAACUAUACUCCUAAUACAAUAAAAUAUAAAAGUCAUAUCACAACUAUACAAGAAAACUAGGAUAAAUGAAUAUAAUUGAAAAGAUAAUCAAAACAUAAGGUAAUUUCACAAUUGUAGUAGGAACCAUUAGCUAUAGUUGUGAUGUAUUACAUUAAUCCCCUCCACUUGAAUAAAAACUCAUCCUCGACUUUGGUGACAAUAAGGAAAACUCAUUCAAAGGAUAAUACUCAAGGAUAUCAGUAACAUUGAAAACAUUGAAAAUGUUCAUAUCCACCAGGAGGUCAAUAUUGUAAGCAUUGUCGCCAAUCUUUUGAAGAAUGCAAAAAUAAUCAAUCUACUUAUCUAUGAGCUUAUUGUAUAUACCAUCAAGAAAACAAUUUUUUCGGCGAUGGAUCACCACCAAAUCACCUUCAUUGAACAGCUUAAGGGGUCAAUGUUGGUCUAUAGUAGCCUUGUAACAAACAUUAGCAUCUUCUAAACUUUGUUUUACCUCGUGAUUGAUUCUUUGAAUAUAUUUAGCAAACUCUUUUGUAUUAAAAUUGACAUUAGGGAGUAGAAUAUAAUCUACCAUGCCGUGAAACAUUAAUGUAAGUGAUUUCAAAAGCAAUCUUCUUGGUGAAUCGAUUAUUCUUUAAUGAUGUAGUACAUAAUCAUGAUUAGCUAUUUCCUACUACAAUUGUGAUUUAUAUUUUGUAGUUGUUUUUAUCCUUUUUUAGUUUUCUUUUCUAGUUAUAAUAUGUUUUAUCUUGUAAUUCUUAUUUCUAGUUUAGAGUAGGAUUUCUAGUUUUUCUCAUUGAUUAGAAUAUAAUUUCUAACUUCUUUUAGAUUAAGAUUUUAUUAGUUUCUUUAUUUUACUUUCCUUAAUAGAAGUAGGAAAUUAUCUUCCCUAAAAAUCCAAUGGCAUUGUACACUUUUGAUUAGAAUCAAUUAUUAUUCAAUAUGUACAAAGCAAGAUUAUUUCAAUAUUGACACGACCUGUCCCGAAUCACCUUAGUAGACCCGAGACGUGACAUGCACCGAUAAUAGAUACUGACUAGAUGUCAAAAUCUAUCACCAAGACUGACUAUAAGUUACUUCAAAAAAUGUGUCAAAAUCAAAUGCUUAUGUAAAACAAAAUGCGAUGGGCUCAAAUUAUUUACUUUAUGCCUCAUCAAUAUGAGUUAUGACACUCAACAUGUCAUGUGGCUCUCAAUCCAAAAUCAUUAGGCUCUUCCAACUAAGAAAAAUCAAUUGCUACCUAUAGAAAAAUUUACGGGAAAAUAUAUGAGUUGAUAGCUCUGUGAAUGGGGAAGUUCGAAAAUAAUUAUACUUUUUCAAUUUUACAUUUUUAUCGAAAAUUGAGUUCAUAUCAUUGAAUAGUUCACAAGAUAACAUCAUGUAAUUAUAGCAAAAAAUGUAAAACAUUCACAUGAUGUGGUAAAAUAUCAUCUCAAGUUAUGAUACGAACAUAAGCUGGUAAUCAUGCUAUAAUCUCAUCACAUCAAAUGUACUGAAAAAUCUACAAAAAAUGUACCCUUUGACUAAAAUCUGUAACCUGCCCCUCGAGCUAAGAACUUUCGUAACGGGCCUUUGGCCCCCUCCGUAAACGAAAACCGAUCUCAAGACCUCUGGCAAUCAAUUCUAGAACACGGUCAAAACCCCUCUGUGAACUAUAUAUACACGGUCAAGACCGCUUCUUGUAGGAUAGAACACGGCCAAGGCCCCUUUGUGAACUAGAAGAAGUAUAUAAUCAUAGGUAUUUUUCUAACCGAUCCCAAUACUACAUGUCUCACAUACCAAACAAAUCUCAAUAUCACAUGUCUUACUUACCAAGUCACGAAUGUGCCAUAAAAUAUCUUUGAGAUUCCACAUGUAUCAUAAUAAAAUAGAUUUAUGUAAUAAUCAUAAAAUCGAACACAUAAUUGCACAUACUUCACUAAUGUACUUAAUUUAUAAAUACGUUAAAAAUAUUUAUACUUUUCCACUCACUGAUCUAUGAAUAGAAAUCUGAUUAAAUUGACGAGCCUUUCCAAGCUUUCACAUCUCUACCUGAAACAAAGGUAUAAUUUCUCAAAUUUAAAUAUGACAAUUAAAUUAAUACAAAUCCAAAUCUUAACUUCUCAAUUUCUAUAUUUAUUUUUACAUCCCCAUUUCCCCAACUUUUCUUCUCAUUGAUUAUUUACUAGUCAAUCAUUACACAUAAUCAAAUCAAUUAAUUGCUAUACUUUCUUAAAACCAUCACCUUGUAUAUACACAAUCCCUAUGCAAAACUUAAUCCAUUAACUAAACUUCACUAUUUAUCAUAUAACCUUAUUCAAACAAUUAAAAUCUGAAAAUAAGGGGUUUAGACAAAAACAGCACUAACAUCCCAGAAUACUGAAUUGUAAGACCAGAUUCUGUAUAUUAAAAAUAGUCACCGAAACCAUUGACCGAAAUAGCACUAUCCUGGGCAGAAUUUCAAAAGUAGCACCUACAUGAAUUUCUUACAAAAUUUAAUUAUAAAUAUCAAAAUCGAAUCCUAAUUCCUUUUAACACUCUAAUACCUCAUAAAUCAAGCAUUAUGUAUCAUAUAAACACAAUAAUUGAAAGAUUGGAACUCUAAUUUGCAAAACCAUUUCAUAUUUCCUUCCUUUCAACACUAAUAUUAUUGUUGUUUUUAAUGCCUCAAACAUUUAUCAACAAUCAUUAAUUUUUGCUAAACCUUAAAUUUGAGAAAAUUUCCAUAAACUCAAAAAGAUAAUUCAACCUACUUACACCUACCUCUCUAAAUCAAUGGAGAAAUGGACAAUCCAAGCUUGAAGACCCACCUCUUCUUCUUUCUUUUUUUUUUUUUCUUUUUUUUUUUUUCAUUUUUUUUUCUCUCCUUUUCUUUCCUCUUUUCUUUCUCUUUUUCUCAAUUUUUCUUGCUUCUGCCCGUCUCAACCCUUUGUCACCCGUGUGUGUAUCUAUGAAAAUGGGUAUUGGGUUAAUUACUUGCCACAUGUACCCCAUAACCCAUUUUUGCAUUUAAGUCCUCCAACCUUCAUAUAGAAAAGCUUUUAAAUACUUAACUUCCAAAAGUAGAAAAAUAAUUCCCAACUUUAAUUUUUAUCUAUCUUAAACCCUCAAAUAUUUUCAAUUUGUGAAAUAAACCCCAAUAAAAUAAUUCAUUUCCUUUUAGUCCCUAUUUGAUUUUGACUUUGACAAUUAGACUUAUGACUUAAAAAAAUUGGGUCGUUACAAAUAUCGUUCUUAAUUACUACAUAAUUCUUAUUGCAAGAAUUUUACAAAUGCUUAUGCACCAACUUUAUUCCUUGUUUCAAAAUUAUAUAUGAAAUUAGUUUUGUAUCAAAAUUAUAAGUGUACUCAGAAAUUUGUAUCUCGUUCAUACAUAAAACUCCCGUAUUUCAAAAUUAACGAAACAAUUCACGUGGCAAAUGAUAGGCCCACAUGAAAAUGUCAAGGUGGAUACAUAACAUUACCAAACAACAUCAUUUAAAUUACAUCUUUUAUGAAUUUAAAUCACAAUUUAUUUCAGAAGAGCACAAUAUGCUUUGAAGAGAUUGAGGGAACAUUUUCUUUUAUUUAAUUUAACCACAUUUCAUAUCUAUUUGUUCCCAAAUUAAUUGACCCUCUCAAAGCGAAAGCCAUGAUGCAUUUUCUCAUAAAUUUUAAAUGGUUGUUGAAGAAAAUGUUCCUCAAUCCCUUUGAAUUUUGUUGUGUUCUUACAACGCAUCAUUUUCAUGUAGGCACUUAGUUUACCGCUGAAUUAUUCAGUUACUAUUGACUGAUGGAAGAUAAUACAAAUUUGUAAGUUCAUAUAUGACUUUGAUACAAAGUUGAGUUCAUGCAUUAUUUUGAUACAGGAUAAAGUUCAUUUAUAAAUUUGAUAUAAUGUACAAUUCAUGUACCAUACACAUAAUUAACUUACCAAGUGUUUGUCACACUAUUGCCUUGUAGAACUCCAUUUGCAAGGUGGAUUAUUCCAUUAAUUUUGAUUGAAGAACGUUAACCUGUGAUAUUUGAUACAAAGCCAAAUUUUAUGUAUAGUUUUGAUACGUUCAUGUACAGUUUGCGCAUUUAAAUCUAAAAGUGCUAAGUCAUCUUUGAAAAUUAAUUCACAAUAAUAUAGCAGCUACUAAUAAAAAUUGUAGGUGAGAAUAAUACUUUUAACAUUGAACAAUAUCAAUAGGGCAAGAGGACAUACAGAUUUGGAAAACUAUAAACAGAAUAAAAAUAAAAAAAAAUACAAGAAUCACACAUUUAACAAAACUAGUAGGAAUAAUAAUUAGUUAGUAGAAUUGCAUUGUUAGUCCCCAUAUUGACAUAGUAGCAAAUGGAUCCUCAACAUAUUAAUAUUGGAAUUUAAACUCCCAGUUUGUCAUUUUUGUUGCACUGUGGUCCUCAAUGAACGGAACCAUCUAAACAUAAGUCUCCCAUGUGAGGGGCAAAAAUAUCAUGGCUCAAUUCAUAUAGAAAACAUAAAAGAAACAUCAUGAAAAAAACAAAUAAUUAAGACGGUAGAAAAAGAAGCCCCCCAAAGCCAUAGAAAUGUUCACUCCCAUUCUUACACAUCAUGUCACCACGCACUAUCCACUGCCACAAUCGGGGGCUUAGGUUUAGAUUCUAGAAAAAGAACAGCCAAAAAAAGAAAUUUCAAAAAAAAAUCAAAAAAACAAAAAUUUGCACACUUUCAGAAAAUGGUAAAUUUCAACGUUUCUUAUAAGCAUCUAUUUAAUGGCACACCAAAUCGUAAGCAAAAAAUUAAUUGAGUUUUUUCUCUCUUUCUAUUAACAAGAAAAUGAAAAAACUAACGAAUGAUCUUUCUUUUCUCUGAAAUCUUUAUGCAUAUUGCAUGUGGAAUUAUGUGAAUGUAUCAAUAAUCACAUACAAACACAUAUAUCAAUCCCAUUUUUCAUUAUGAUGACUUUCCAUCCAAUGAGGACUAUGGUGCAAUCAAAACGAGAUUUUGGAAUACAUACUCAAAAACAAAAUAAAAUGGGACCCUUUUUGCUAUUGUCAAUAAAUUGGAGACUGAUUCUGCAAUUUUCCUUAAUCAGCCUUUUAGCCAAAUUAAUCAUAAACAGACUAACAUGCUAGCCGCCACACGACACUCAUCUCCACCUCAAGCCCCCGUAUCCUCAUUUUCUCUAAAUUGGAUUCUAUCAAUAAUACUUCAAACACAUUCGGUUAGUCCUUUUUCUCACUUUCUUUAAUUUUUUUUUAAAGUGCUUGAUGUUUCUCAAAUUGUUUAUCGGCUAUUUAGGGAUGAGGAACCUGGUUUGGCCAUUUGUUGUGGGGUGUGUUAUUAGUUUGAGCUAAUUUGGGAAUGGCCGAAUUUUGGGCUGGAAUUGUAUAAAAAUUUACCAAUUUACCAAUUCCUUAAUUUACUAUUAAUUGUAAGGAUAAAUAUUAUAUUUUUGAAUUUACGCAUCCCUUAAGGGGGAUGUAAGUUUGAUGAUAAAGUCAGAAGCACUCAAGUUCCACGAUUUAAAGGGACCAUUGUCUAUGACAAUGAAAAUGGAGAUUUAGUUGCAAGUAAUCACAUUUUCUUCCUGCAUCUGCAUAUAUUACUUUAUGGAUUUGGUGUCUUGUCAAUAAAAGUUUUAAGCAUCACACUUUUUCCACAAUAUAUACUAAAACAUGAUAUCACAAGUUCGGAACACAUAAUGAACAUGAUUUCCCCAGUGUAUAAUUAAAUAAAUUAGUUCUGUAUUUUCUUUCCCUCAUUUUGUGGUUUUUCUUCUCAAUAUUAGUUAGGGCCAGACAAAACUCCAGAACCAAACCAAUCUGAACAGUUUUUCUUAUGUUAAAUAUCCGAACGAGUAUCUAAAUUGAGAAUCGACGGGUCCAAUUCGAUUCUUGGUUCUAAAUCAAAAAUCGAAAAAUUGAAUAAGAUUCGAAUCUCCCUCAUUUUUUUAAUUAAUUUAUUUUUAAUAUGUCAAAUUAUUUUAUUUUUCCAAAUAAAUUUAUUAACUACAUAAUUUUCCUAUUUCUAAUUUUCAGUUCCAAGCCAACUUAAUCAAACUGACCUAAAUUUUAUCCAAAUCUAUUACUCUAUAGUAGUGUCAUUUCUACCGUUCUGAAAAAAUCAAAUAGAAGCUCGACAACGCCCUUAUAAAUUAUUGUGAGCUCACUAUCUUCAUUUUCCUGUGAUUUUAACAAUCAAAUCUACGAAGAACUUAGUAAAGAAAAACGUAAAAGACACAUAAGAUUGGACUACAUUAUUUUGUAAGACUUAAGAUUGAAUAUAUCAUUAGUUGAAUUAAUAUAACUUUGUAAAUAGUAAAAUAUUUAAUUAUAACACAGAAAUUGGGAACCGAAUAAAACCUAACCCAAAUGGUUCUAUAAUUAAAUUUGAACCCGAUGGUUCCACUUACUAAAUACCCGAAAAUUUCGGAUCCGGUAUCCUAAAAUACAAGCUCAUGAGCAUCAUCUUAAAUUCUGGAUUGUCUUGUAUCUCUGACCGCUUCCUAGUACCUAUCAUCUCCAAAUGAUCCAAUUCGAGGAUUGUUUACUUGGUAACACAAAAAUUAUUCUCUCUCUUUGUGCUAAAAAGUAAAUGAUUCUUAUGAUUUGCAAGUUAAAAAAAUGGUUUCUCAGUCUGCAAUAUUUCCAAUUGGUAGCAUUCUUGGCUUUAGAAUUCUCUACUUUGUUUUAUGAAGUCAAUGAGAUUACGGAAAUAAGAGAUGGAAUUAAGGCCGAAUCCAAGAUUCUGACUUCUCAAUUAUUAAAAAAGGGAGAGGCAAUAUAGGAUUACUAAGAAGUCUCUCAUUUUCAUUGUAAUAUAAAUUUUAUUAUUGGUUUUCUUAAGUUUCAGCCCCCUUAUUGAAAAUUAUGGAGCCUUCCCUGGUUGAAUCCGAUUUGGUAUGAUAUACAUUGUUGAGAUUGAACAUUGUUAUAUGGACUGAAUAUUAUGUUGGAAUAUGAAUUGAAGAGACUUAGAAAUUGAUUUGAAUCUGAAUUGUGGAUGUUGCUGCUUAAUUUUAGAUAAGUUGGCAUGACUCGUAGGUUUCAAUGUAGUGAAUGAUGAGUUGAAUGAUCAUAUUUUGAUAACAGAUUGUAACGAUUCUGUGAUCUCAGGGGUAUUUUGGAGCUUGGAUUUAGAAACAACUGUUGCUGUAGAUUAAGAUCGUCAUUUCUUAUGUCCAAGGCACAUGAUGUGACAGAUUAUUUGUAAUACCUAAUUUAAAACAAGUAAAAAUAAUAAUAUUGGUCAAAAAUGUCAAGCUCUGGAAAAAAAAUAAAAAUAAAAAAAAGCAAAGGAAAAAGGGUUAGGCGAUUUAACCAAUACAUUCCAAUCCAUUUACAUUACACACACGCGCACACACUAGAAAGGAAACGAAGCUGAGAGAUAAAAGAAAGGGGAAAAAAAAGGAAAGGAAGCAAAAAUAGGAAAGUUUGCCUAUGUUGUUAGAAAAUAAGUGCUUCCUACUAGUAAGCUUGAAUUUUUCAAUUCUGAAAGGUAAAUAAACGUUACUUAUUAUUAAGUUAUGUUUAAUUUUAUAGUUGUUAGAUUGUUAGAUUAAAUUCAAUUUUAUUGAAGGGGUUAAAUAUAAUAAACUAUGAAAUUGAGUAAAGUGAAAGAAAAACCAACUUUAGUGAUUAAAGAGACUGUUAAAAUCGCUUAAACGUGAAAUGAUUAAAUUUGGGUAUCGUCUAUUUAAUUAUUGAAAUUACUUAAAAUAAUUAAUUGUUGAUUUAAAAAUUAUAUCAUUUUUCAGGUGGCGAUACUGACAUCAGAACAGCUUACCAACCGAGUUGAUUUUGCGAACAUAGUUCCGUGAGCCAAAAAAACUUAAAUAUUUUCAAGUAUUGAUAAAUUAAUUAUAACAGUACAUUAUUUGCAUUUAUAUGUUCGAUUACAUGAUUAUUUUGGAAAUAUUCUUUCAUCAUGAUAUUUGUGGAAUUCAAAGAUUAGAUAAUAUUUGUGAUUUGGAAUGUGAGACAUGUGAUAUUGAGAUCAACCAAAAAAAUACCAGUGAUUAUAUAUUUCUUCUAGUUCACUGAGAGGCCUUAGUCGUAUUCUAUAAUACAUUGAGGGGUCGACUACGGAUGAAGGGGUCGUGACCCUGUACAUAUAGCUCAAUAAGGAGCCUUGAUCGUGUUCUAGAAUUGAUUGCCAGAGGUCUUGAGACCAGCUUUCAUUCGCGGAGGGGGCCAAAAGCCCCGUGGCGAAAGUUCUUAGCUCGAGGGGCAUAUUACAGAUUUUAAUCAGAGGAUACAUUUUUGGUAGAUUUUUUCAGUAUAUUUGAUGUGAUGAGAUUAUAGCAUAAUUACCAGCUUUUGUUCAUAUCAUGACUUAAGAUGAUAUUUUACCACGUCAUGUGAAUGUCUCAUGUUUUGUCUAUAAUUAAAUGAUAUUACAUUGCGAGUUAUUCAAUUAUAUGAACUCGAUUUUUGAUAAAAUGUAAAAUUGAAAAAAAUAAUUAUUUUCAAAUUUCUCCACUCACAAGCUAUCGACUCAUAUAUUUUUUCACGAUUUUCCUAUAGGUAGCAAUUUAUUCUUUUUAGCUGAAAGAGCAUAAUGAUUUCAGAAUGAGAGCCACAUGACAUGUUGAGUGUUAUAACUCAUAUUGAUAAAGCACGAAGUUAAUAAUUUGCGCCCAUCGUAUUAUGUUUUACAUAAGCAUUUGGUUUUUAUGCAUUUUUUUGAAGUAACUCAUAGUUAAUUUUGGUGAUAGAUUUGACAUCUAGUCAGCAUCUAUCAUUGGCACAUGUCACGUUUCGGGUCUACUAGGGUGAUUCGGGACGGGUCUUGUCAUUAUUUAUGGAAACAUAACAUUGUAGGAUGGAUACACUCCUGCUGUGAUACAAUUCAUGCUAUUCGAAGAUUCUAAGGUUUCCUAAUUCCUAGAGCCAAACCUCAAAAUGAUUCAAUCGAAGCUGAGAACUCUUUCCUUGUUAGCCUUUUAGCAGUGGUAAAAAUAAAUUCUUAGUUGAAUGUUAGAAUUUUGAACAUAUUGUGUAGAGGUGGUUUAUAACAAUGAAUGUCAAUAUGGAAACAUUGUCUUCUUGUCCCAUGAUAAACUUUCUUUUAGUAGGUCGGUCAUGUUAUCUUCCUUAUUUUUGACUAAAGGAUCUCUUCUUGGAAUUGUAAGUUUCUGAUUCCAAAUACACACACACACAAUUGUCCUUUCUUCGUACAAAUUUUCAUACGAAAUGCACACCACAAAUACUCAAUCACCAUUUUUUCUUCCGAUUGUUAAGUAAACUUAGUGUGAUGAUAAGACUAGACAUAAACGUUUCCAUUUGCUAAAUAACCAAUAUUAAGUUUAGCCUCAUAUGAAAAAUAGUAAGAAAAAUUCAGGGUGUUACACAAUAUCCAAACAUUGGAACAUUCGUAGGAAGGAGGGUUAUCUAUUGGGAAAAUUGAGUGAUUUGCAUGUAGAUUUAUUUAAUAAUUAACACAAUAAAAUAACAAAUACAAUUCAAGAAUAUUAUAACAUAAAAUAGAGAAGAGAUUUAGAAAACAAGCAUUGGGAGUCAUGUCGAGAACGUGUCCUAAAGUCGUGUAGCCUCCUUUUCGUGUAGGUUCUUUCAGCACUACACGACUUCAAGAUAAAACGCAUGUGGCUCUCCUUCUAUGGGCACGGCCAUAGGGAGAUAAAGAACGGGCAUUUCAUCAAGUUGCCACAAACUAUAGAAAUAUAGUAUAUAAAAUAUAGAUAUAGUAUUUUAUUUUGUUUGUACCUCAAGUUGUUUUUCUCAAAUGAAAGAACUCCCAUUUAUAGGGAUAAAUUUAACCCUACAAUGACACCAUUAAAAUAUAGGUUACCAUAUGUUUUAAUUUUUAUUAAAACUUAAAAUUAAAGUGUUUUAAUAUUUUGAAAGGUUGAAACUUGUUUUAAGUUACAACAAUACCCCCACAAAUUUUAAGCUUUCAAAAUAAUUUAAAAUAUAUAAUAGUGGCAACAUAAUACUGUGCAAUAGGUGUAGGUGUUUUUUGGACUUGAACCUCACUUAGAGAUAACAAUUUCCAUUUGAGGGAGUCAUAAUGGACUAAGCCUUGAAUUAAGUCCCUUUGGCCAAACUUCAAUUGUUCCACACACAGUAUCGAUUUAGGCUCAGUUCAUUACGGGUAGCGCUGUUAAUGGUCAUGCGCUCUAAUCUUGAUUCUAGUAAGAGUCUCUAGCAAAUAGCGAAAUCCAAUAGCCACGGGCUUAUGGCAACUCUUGCAUUUGUGAGUCCUCCAAGAGUAUGUGUGAACCAUACCUCGCGAGAAUUCUUACAUCGGUACUCAUUCAGGGUUAAACCCUUCCUAACAUCACAUUAUUAUUAGCACUAUAUCACCAUAGGGAUGAGGACAAAUAAUAUAGUGUUAUUAUGAGUCACAAAGGUUGAGUUACUACCACAUUGAACCUUCUUCAUAGGAUCUCUAAUCACAAAGGUUGAGUUACCCCUGAAGGUGACUCCCUGAGGGCUUAGACUCAUCCCCCUCGAUGAUUUAUGUACGUCCCUCUCGGACUACGUAUAUUCAUGUCCUUUUUGGACAAUAUAUUGGUACUAUUAAUUUGCAAAGCUUUUCUUCUUCACCUGCCCAUUUGCAUAUCUGCAAAGUCACCUAAGAAUUUUCCAAAAGUCAAUAUCACAUAUAUAAUUGUAAUAAAAUUUCUGAUAUAACAAGUUUGGGAAAAUGCAUCCAUAGAGCUCUUGCGUUUCACCUGUAAUUUUCAAAUUCAUUUUUUGGCACUAUUCAAGAGUUAGUUUACAACUAGGAAAAAAUAUAAGGUGUAUUUAUAUUAAACACCUCUACAUUCCAAAGAUAUCCAUUUUUGAGGAGUUCUUUUGAAAUUUUCCAUGUCUGUAAAUGCUUCUAAACACUUUCACAAAAUAUCAAUGUCACAAUGACUUAGAUAGACUUAAAUAAAAGGUGUGACAAUGUAGAGAAUAUAAUUGUUCAACUUAUCUUUUUCUAGUUCUAUUUUCAAUGAGAUAUGACAUUUCGAUAUUCAUUCAACUUCUUCUCAACAAUGAAAUCCAAUCACCUUUUUAUAGGUAAAAUUUCAACCCCCAACAUUUAUAGUAUUAAAACAUAAGUUAUAAUAUGUAUUAUGGUACUUUAAUUUUGUGUUAAAACUUAAAAUUAAAAGGUUUUAAUUUGAAAUUUGAAACUUACCACAAAUUAUAAUAUGUAUGUUACAAUUUAAUUCAAUUCUGUAUUAAAUUGAAAUUAAAAUAAAAACAACAAAUUGCUAAUUUGAAAAUUUAAAACUUAAAUUAAAUAUUUUCCGACAAUCCCCCACAAGUUUUAAAUUUUCAAAAAUAUAUAUAUAAUGGCAAAAUUAUACUGUGCAAUAGGUGUAGAUGUCUUUUGGACUUCAACAUUACUUAGUGAUAACAAUUUCCCUUUGAGGGAGGCACAAUGGACUAAGCCUUGAAUUAUGUCCCUUUAGCCAAACUUCAAUUGUUCCACACACAAUAUCGAUUUAGGCUCAGUUCAUUGCGGGUAGUUAUGUAAAUUGUCAUGCGCUCUAAUCUUGAUUCUUGCAAGAGUCUCUAAGGAAUAGCCCAAUCUCAUAGCCACGACCUCAAGACAACUCUUACAUAGGUGAGUCCUCCAAGGGUGUGUGACCCACACUUCGCGAGAAUUCUCGCCUCGGUACUCAUUCGGGGUUAAACCCUUCCUAAAAUUACAUUAUUAUUAGCACUAUAUCACCAUAGGGAAGAGCACAAAUAAUAUAGUGCUAUUACGAAUCAUGCAGUACGGGUUGUUUCUACCACAUUGAACCUUCUUCAUAGGAUCUCCAACGACAAAGGUUGGGUUACUCUCGGAGGUGACUCCCUUAGGGCUUAAACCCAUCCCCCUCGAUGAUUUAUGUAUGUCCCUCCCAAACUAUGUAUACUCAUGUCCCUCUUGGACAAUAAAUUGGUCCAAUUAAUUUCUAAUAUAACAAGUUUGGGAAAAUGAAUCCAUAGAGCUCUUGCAUUUCACCUGCAAUCUUCAAAUUCAUUUUUUUGGCACUAUGCAAGAGUUAGUUUACAACUAGGAAAAAAUAUAAGGUGUAUCUAUAUUAAACACUUCCACAUUCCAAAGAUAUCCAUCCUUGUGGAGUUCCUUUGAAAUUUUCCAUAUCUGUAAAUGCUUCUAAACACUUUCACAAAAUGUAAGUGUCACAAUAACUUAGAUAGACUUAAAUAAAAGGUAUGACAAUGUAGAGAAUAUAAUUGUUCGACUUAUCUUUUUCUAGUUCUAUUUUCAAUGAGAUUUGACAUUUCGAUAUUCAUUCAACUUCUUCUCAAGCAUUGACCAAAGAAAGGAAAUAUCAAUUAAAUAGUUUGACAUCCCCACAUUUUAAAGAUGUCUGACUAACUAAGAGGAUGUUACCUUGUAGAGUUUACCUUGAGGCAAAUCAAAUUAUACAUUUUGUAUGUAGCUCUAUCAGGAAUUAAUGUACCUAAUUUUCUUUCUUACAACCCAGAUAAUGACCAAUAUAUCUAAGAAAAUAUAAGAAAAUGCAUUGUAAUUAUUUAACAUCACAUUAUGAAUUUUCUCCUUUAAAAUUUUCUGCAUCCUUUGCCACAUUUUCAUUUUGAAAUAAUUCAAAACCAAUUUUGACACCACAUAAGUCUAACUUAACUAACAAUGCCACCAAACUGGAUUCUCAUUUUUGAAAUAGUACAAUUAAUAAAUUAUAAUAAAUCUUCCUGAUCACCAUUUCAGUUUUAAGGUGAUGGAGAGAACAUUUAAACCGUUAAGAUAUUCGCAAUGAUCUCUAUAUACUUGUUCUAAGAGAGGUAAGCACUAGGCCCUUGCACUAUUAGUAUCUAUAAAUAUUUUCUUCAAGCAUCAAUCAUAUAAUACGUGUAUAUAUAAGCAUAAAAUCUGUAUUCACAUAUCAUUUCAGAAAGACGGAUUAGUAUUAAUCACCAUAAUGUGCCUAUAAUGACCAAGAAGCAUAUUUGAUCGGCCAUCAUUUUUUGCUUGAUAACUUAAAAUAUGAAGGCUCAUAUAAUCUUAAAAUUAAUUAAACACCAAAUAACGUAUUAUAAUUGUUAAUAUAUAAAGCUUUUGAAACUUAAAUCAAAAUUGAUUAUACUACAUUGAAGUACUAUAUGUUACUCAACAUCAAUAUAAGAGUUACAUUUCUAAAUUAGAUAAUAAUAACACCACUAUCAUUCACAGGAGUUACAAUUAAACUUUUUCUAAAAUAUCAAUUAAGUACAUUCUUUAUGACUCCUAGGAGUUACCUGGAUACAAUUGCUCUUGAUAUCAAUGAAAAUUCUUCAAUGAAUCAAUCAUGGGUAAACAUUGAAUAGGCCCCCUAUCUGGUGUUGCUUUUUGAGUAAAUUUAUCAGAUUUUGAUACAAUUUAUUGUACAUUUGUCUACUAGCGUUUACUUAUUGCCCCUAUUUUUUAUUAUUUUUUUAAUGUAGUCAACAAUUGUGGCUACUUUUUAAUAUGUACGGUGAAUGUUGAAUUUAAGAAGGAAAGGGUAAUAAGGACUUUGCAAUGUAGUGUAGAAGUUAUUCAAAUUGAGCAUUGCUACCAGCUUCAUAUUUUAUCAACAAGGACAAUUUGAUGUGAUAGAAAAAUCAAAUUUCAUCAAGAUUUAGUGCAUCCGGACAAAUGCUAAAUAUUCAGCUAUUAAUAUAAAACAUGCACCAUCGAGAAACCACGGAAUGUAAAUCAAAGGUGUCAUAGCUUACUAGCACAGUUGAAGUUAUAAACAAUCUAAACAAAUCUAUGUACAAAUCAAAUACGACUUUAGGACAACGUCAUCGACGUGACUCCCAAAACUUGUUUUCUAAAUCUCCUCUCUAUUUUAUGUUAUAUUAUUCUUGAAUUGUAUUUGUUAUUUUAUUGUGUUAAUUGUUAAAAAAAACCUACAUACAAAUCACUCAAUUUUUCCAACAAUCUAAAGUCUUGUUGUUUCCCCGUCGUGCGGAUUUUUUCGGCACUACACGACUUCAAGGUAAAACUCAUGUACCUCUCCUUCUAUGGGCAUGACCAUAGGAAGAUAAAGAACGAGCAUUCAAUCAAGUUGCCACAAACUCUAGAAAUAUAGUAUAAAAUAUAGAUAUAGUAUUUUAUUUUUGCUUGUAUCUCAAGUUGUUUUUCUCAAAUGAAAGAACUCCCUUUUAUAGGAAUAAAUUUAACCCCACAAUUAUACCAUUAAAAUAUAGGUUACCAUAUAUUUUAAUUUUAUAUGAAAACUUCAAAUUAAAGUGCUUUAAUAUUUGGAAAGGUUGAAAUUUCCUUUAAGUUACAGCACUAUCUGACCUGAAAAUCUGAAAAUCAUGAGACGAAAGUAAAAUCGCAAGUGCACCGCUAAGGUUUCUAUUCGAGGAGCCGUAAGAACGAGAUAAAACCUCUUAAAAUCAACAAAAAAGAACAGAAGAUAACAAACGUAUGCGAAAGGAUUUGUACGAACGGAUCUUGGGUUUCAAGAACAAUAAAUCCCAAAUCCAACCCAUUACUAUUGCUAAACCAAGUUCAUAAAUCAUGUGUGAAAGGAGGAAUUUAAGCCCCCUUUGGACCCCAUUUUCUGAAAAUGAAAAUGGGGGAAAUAGUGUUUUUUUGAAAAAUGAGUGGUUGAAAAAGAAGGAAAAAUUUUUGAUUUACGUAUAAUAUUAUUUUAUGAAAAAUUGUGUGAUUGAAAAUAAGAGAAAAAAUAAAAUGUAAUGUAAUUGAUUUUAAUGGAGGCCAAAAGGCAGCUAAGAAUGAAUGGUAUUUUGUGGAUAGUCUUUUAAGCAGUAAGGAUAAGGAUAAGGAUUUCUGUGGAGGGUUUGAAAAUUCCAAAGCAAAAACACAAUUCCUGACCUUUUUCUGUCCUCUCAUUAAAACUAUUUGCAACAAGAGAGAGAGAGAGAGAGAGAGCGCGAGAUGGAGAAAGAUCUUGCCAUAGCUUACGAUGAAAGAGCAACUGAAGAGGAAAAGGUCACGGCAAAAAGGUUGGAUCGUAACGGGGAUGGAAAAGUAUGCUUAUUGGAGUUCAAGGAGUCUGUGAGUUCAUGGUUAUCAAGUGAGAAAGUAUUCAAACAACACGAUGCAAAUGGUGAGGGAACUCGGGAAUUUAAUGAUGAUUUAGCCAUUUACUACAAGAAGACGACAAACCGAUCUCUUGUCUGCAGUGGUUGCAAUGGUGUACUACUUGGCCAAUUCUUUUCUUGCUUUACAUGUCUACCGAAAUAUCCCGAAUCUGUGGACCUUUGUUGUGACUGUUACGAUAAAGGGGAAUUCAAACACGAGCACUC
Molecule: long non-coding RNA, 30060 nt
Filed under: Olea europaea (common olive)
Lineage: Eukaryota; Viridiplantae; Streptophyta; Magnoliopsida; Lamiales; Oleaceae
Description: long non-coding RNA (OEUR_LNC008245)
Source: RNAcentral